UUUCGAAUAUUGUUUUACUUAUCAUGUGUGAACACAAUAUUUUUUUAAAAUCUUUGCAAGGCACAGUUGUGAUUACUCAAGUCCACAUUUAACCUUCCCUGAUAUGUUUGAUUGUCUUUUCAUUUUUCUUAGGAAUGAAGUGGUUAUCUUGGAUGCCAUUCAGUGAUGUAAUUUUGUGAUCUAGCGUUAUCCUUCAUGUAACAGGGUAAGUCAUUGUGGCUUCUUGGAUGCCAUUUCCUGCCCUCUUCUUUUCUAGAUGGCCUUGUCAAUUAAGCCAUUGUUACAUCUGCAGUUGUGCCCAUGCUGUAACCUUACUAGAUCAUAGUGUCAAUUUUUUUAUAUGUGUGAGAUGGCUGCUGCUUUGUAACUAUAGUUGCCAUUCAGUAGUUUGUAAUGCUGCAGUUGUGUGAAAUAAAAUUCAGAGCUGGUUCCAUUUUAUACUUUUAUUUGCAGCAAUUUUCUGUUUUAGUGGCUAGCAUUUAAGAAGGAUGUGAUCUGUUUUUCUGUGUGUUUGUCGUUUAUAAUCAUUAAGAUAGCCAGGACGUAGACUUAUAAUCAUUAGGAUGUGAUCUGUUUUUCUGUGUGUUCGAUUAUAUUUUGCAUCUCAGCUUUUCUGAAGUUGAAAAGAAUUGGGAUUACACUGAUUGGAAGUCUAGAUAGAUGCUCAGGCUCGAGCAUGAAUGAAGUGCUGGAAAUAUACUUACUAAUCAAACAGGAAAAAGGGCACGGCUUGCAUUCAAAUACUAGGGUGUUGCUGUGAGUAGUGAGCAAAUCCAAGACUAACCAAUUUAAAUGCUAGCCAUGGCUUGCUUUUUGUAAUCCUCAAAAUCAACAAAGUCAUCAGUUUCAAUGGGAACCGAUGGCUCUGCAAUCUUCGGCUCGAAAAACUGGCUAUAGGAGUUGAGACCCGAUGCUGAUGCUGUUUCUGUAGGAGUGAACAAAUAUAUAUUUUGUUGUAACACCGAGAACUUUUUUUUCCUUACCUGUAAUGUUAUUACAGCGUAGACUAAUUAGAACAGUCUACGCUGUAAUAACAUUACAGGUAAUCAGUCUACGGUAACUAAUCAGAGGAAAAUAUAUUUUGAAGCAUGGGUUGGGGGAACUGCUAAUGCAUUUAUCUGUUUUAAUUAGUUAGCUAUACUUACUAUAUCUUUUACGUUUUUAGGUAACCAUCAUCUACGUUGUUGAUCAUUAAUCAAGAAGCAUUCAUUUGCAGAAGAAAAACUACCUGAUAUGCUUGAUCUAUGGUGGAGCGCAGAUGAUCUAGAGCACCUAUAUGAAGCAUAUAGAAGAUGUGAAAAAUAUCGGAAGAGGUUUGUUUUAUGGCCUGUUUUGUUGUGGAGUGGUAUUGCUUUUAGUAGGCAGUUGGAAACCACUUGUUUAGGUAAACCACAAACCAGAAAUCAGAUGAGACGAAAACAUUCCUUUCGUGUAUUGUUCACACACGAGUACCCAAGAAAUUUAUUGUAUCAAGUAGCAGUAUUGUCUCAUGCCAAAAAAAAAGGUAGUCGACUCUGUGACCUUGUUGUCCAUAAUGUUUUUUUGCUGCUGGGAAGGUUUCAUAAAUUGUGACCUUUGCGGAGUGCCCUGCCUCAGUGAUAAUUUUGGUCUCAUUGUGUCAAAUAGACUUCCUAUGAAGUGAAGCUUUGUUGUAACCAUGAGCAUGUGAGCAAGUAUUCAUUCCCAGCUUGUUUUUUUUUGCAGGAAUCCCAAGUAUAGUUUUCAGCUUCUGGUUUCCUCUGAAUCCUAGAGAGAUAAAAUAUGUUUCCUGUUUUCUUUACCUGAUCACAUUUUAGAAUCUCAGCUAGGUAAUCUGAUUGGAAUUUCAGCAACUACAUGAUCAAUUUGUGUUGCAGUUAUCCUAUUUCCAGUUGUCUUAUGUUUUAAAGUGGGUGUCAUGCGUGGAGCUGCAUGGGUAUUUUUCCUGUAAUAUUAUUAUUAUGGUUUUUGGUACCCUGCCCUAACUACACUGAAAUCCAUGUUGGUUGAUGCAGCUGAAGAGGUGAUCCUUUCAAUCUCCUCAGCUUCCAUGCCCCGACCACACUGCAGUCCAUAAUGGAUGAGGAAGGAGGAGGUGCAUCGACAAUAGUUUGAAUCAGAUCGGGCAGCCACCAUAGUUGGUGAUGCUGUGGAGUGGAGGAACUAUGGCAUAUGGCACUACAGUUGACUUCCCCUACACUGUUGGAAACUGCAGUGGACUGAUGGCACCGUGGUUCACCUUCCAUAUAUGGCUGGAAUUUGUUGCCCAACACUUAUUACCAGGCAAGUAACUCACUAUUCUUUCCGUGCUCCAUUCUCCAGUCCAAAUUCAAUUAAAGCAAAUAAAUCGGAUUAAUCUUUAAUGCCUUAUCAAGAAAAAUGUGCAUUGUAGCUGUCCAUCACCAGGACUGGUCAUGAGUCUCAUGACCAGACUCUGCAUCAUACAGACCAGAGACGAACCAGCAGGGGUGGUCUGCAUCAUCUCUAGCGGCAGCAUGCAAUCCUUGAUCUAGGUGUUCGCUACAUGAACAAAUCAAAAACCGGCAAGUCGGUUCACCUUUUGGCUUAUAUAUUUAAUCAUUCCGCCUUCCAGCAUCAAGCAAAGUUAUUAGGCUAGGCGUCGAACAUUGAAUUGAUUGUCUCUUUAUGAGUUUCUAGCUCUUUGAAUUUCUAUUCAUGUUCCCACACGAGUAUAUAGUUAUUCCUGAUACAUAUGGGUUAAUCACUGUGCUUAAGGACAAGCGCGAAACCAAGUGUAUUUUUUAGAGGAGUAUUUAUGAGAUUGAAUUGCUGCAUGAU
This 2778-nucleotide long non-coding RNA is filed under the name Triticum aestivum (bread wheat). RNAcentral describes it as "long non-coding RNA (TAES_LNC000917)". Lineage: Eukaryota; Viridiplantae; Streptophyta; Magnoliopsida; Poales; Poaceae. The record is from RNAcentral.